This 253-nucleotide ribosomal RNA is filed under the name uncultured bacterium. Its description in RNAcentral is "partial 16S ribosomal RNA". It matches the Rfam family "Bacterial small subunit ribosomal RNA", at positions 524 to 776 of the family's 1533-position model. The record is from RNAcentral.
UACGGAGGAUCCGAGCGUUAUCCGGAUUUAUUGGGUUUAAAGGGUGCGUAGGCGGUUUGAUAAGUUAGAGGUGAAAUGUCGGGGCUCAACCCCGGAACUGCCUCUAAUACUGUUGGACUAGAGAAUAGUUGCGGUAGGCGGAAUGUAUGGUGUAGCGGUGAAAUGCUUAGAGAUCAUACAGAACACCGAUUGCGAAGGCAGCUUACCAAACUAUAUCUGACGUUGAGGCACGAAAGCGUGGGUAGCAAACAGG